RNAcentral lists this ribosomal RNA (468 nucleotides) under uncultured bacterium. Its description in RNAcentral is "partial 16S ribosomal RNA". It matches the Rfam family "Bacterial small subunit ribosomal RNA", at positions 28 to 507 of the family's 1533-position model. The record is from RNAcentral.
GACGAACGCUGGCGGCGUGCUUAACACAUGCAAGUCGAACGGAAAGGCCCUGCUUUUGUGGGGUGCUCGUGUGGCGAACGGGUGUGUAACACGUGAGUAACCUGCCCUUGACUUUGGGAUAACUUCAGGUAACUGGGGCUAAUACCGGAUAGGAGCUCCUGCUGCAUGGUGGGGGUUGGAAAGUUUCGGCGGUUGUGGAUGGACUGGCGGCUUAUCAGCUUGUUGGUGGGGUAGUGGCUUACCAAGGCUUUGACGGGUAGACGGCAUGAGAGGGUGACCGGCCACAUUGGGACUGAGAUAAGGCGCAGACUCCGACGGGAGGCAGCAGUGGAGAAUAUUGCACAAGGGGCGGAAGCCUGAUGCAGCAACGCAGCGUGCGGGAUGACGGCCUUCGGGUUGUAAACCGCUUUCGCCUGUGACGAAGCGUGAGUGACGGUAAUGGGUAAAGAAGCACCGGCUAACUACGUG